ACCCAGAGAUGCCCUGUCCAGCUGUGUGCUGGGCAGUUGUGACUCUUCCUGGGAUCCAAGAAUUUCCAGUGAAAUUCUGCUCACGGAGAAGAGUCAUGGCUUCCUAGGAGAAGAAACGCUGCAAGGUACAAGUGAGUGGAUUCCAAGGCCGGAGCCAUGGGAACAGCUGAAGCCAGAAGAAGCCAGAGUCCUCACAACCAAACCUGAGCGACUGCCAAGUCUAGAGCUAGAGAGGGAUGAGCCCCGCGGGAGGGAUGGGACACACUCACUGUAACCUCAGUGGACCAGCGGGCUGCUGCUAACCCUUGUUUCCCCCAUAUAUAAGGGCACAGUUUCUUAUCCCUGAUCCUUGCCUGAAAGAAGGCUGUUUUCUUCAAGUAAGAGGACUCUGCAUCGACCUACCCGGGGUCAGAUGACCAGUCACGUGUCACUAUGAUUGGUCUUGGGUUACUCUCUAGCCAAUGAGACAGAAGCAAGGGUCUGUGGGGCUUCUGGGAAUGAUUCUUGGCCCUAAUAAGAAGAAACUCUGUGGGCUGGAGAGAUGGCUCAGUGGUUAAGAGCACUGACUGCUCUUCCAGAGGUCCUGAGUUCAAAUCCCAGCAACCACAUGGUGGCUCACAACCAUCUGUAAUGAGAUCUGAGGCCCUCUUCUGGUGUGUCUCAGGACAGCUACAGUGUACUUACAUACAUAAAAUAUGUAAAAUCUUUCAAGAAGAAGAAGAAACUUUGUUGUUUAUGUCUUUUGAGAUAGGGUUUCUCUGGGUAGCCCUGGCUGUCUUCCUCAUCUGGUUCCCAUGCAGAUCCAAGGAGAACACAGGAGAAAUGGUUGCCGAGCUCAGCUGCCUGGAAGCCAGCCUUCUCCUGUUUGCCUGCAGAACAAGAUGUCCUCUUGGCUCCUCCAGCACCAUGUCUGCCUGGAUGCUUCCUGCCUUGAUGAUAAUGGACUGAACCUCUGAACCUCCAUGGAAACUCUAAGACAUACAGGUUCUGGGUAUUGAACUCAGUUCCUCACUGCUUGAAGGCAAGCUCUCUACUGACUGAGAUGUGACUGCAGCCUGAGUCUGUCAUACCAUGAACCCCAGCUGUCAACGUCCAGACCACCGGUCCCCGCCCUUCCUGAAUCUUGGCUCUUGUGACACACGCUCAUCCCUCCUUCUGGUGAAGCGACCUCCAUCGCUGGCCUCCAGAUGAACUGUAGCAGGCCAGCAGAGAGGGCUCAGAACAUUUGCUGGGUCAGUGGCUUUGUUGAAGAGCUGCCCUACCUGGGUGGUAACUGGAGUGCACUGCCUGGCACAGGAAGUAAAGAUGGGGGCUAGGGGACAGGAAGAAGAGAGUCAUUGGGGGUCAGCAGAUUCAUCCCUCUUCAGUCCCACGCUGGAAGCAGUCGUGGAUCAGACCACUCAGAUGGUUCUAGAAGGCGAGAAAACAUGGUCUGGGAGCUUCUCUCUCAUCCCUAUUGAUUUAUGUAAAAGCUAGCACGGUAGCCAGGCUGCAGAAGGUUCCAGCAAUCCCUUGACAUGUUCUCCCCAUUAAAUAGAAGUGACGUGGGUGACCAAUGAGAUAGAGCAGGAGUGAAGACACGAGAUUGCCAAGGUUAAAUUAUGAGAGAGAAUGGGGCUCCCCCCUCCCUGCCUUGGACAACAGCCUUUCAGGGAAGCCAGGCAUUUUGUGAGGACCCACACAACGGGACACACCCAGACACCCAAUUCUCAGCACAAAGGAGAUUUAUUACCCUGGAGGGACAGCAAGGGGAGCAGGGGCACCGCCCCUGGAUCAGACCAAGGCAACAGCAGGUACGUCUGCAGAAAUCGUUUAACGAGGAAAGGGGAAGUCUGUGCUUGAUUGGACGGCUUAGCUGGUGUAAACGAAUAGAGAAUGUUGAUAGCUGGGCCUUGGUGGUUAGUCUCAAGAAUGAGUCAGUGGCCAAAUAAGGGAAUAGACCUUGGGGCGAGCUUUAGGAAUGCAAUCUAAUGGUUUCACAAGGGAGAGGGAAGGGCAAAAGCUGCCAGCGCCAUGUUUGCCAUGACUGGGCCUGUCAGAGAGCACUUCAACGAUGGCUGCCCACUACCCAUGUUGGUUCUCUCAUCCCUGGGUUGGCUUAGGGGAGGCAUAUUCACUCCAGCACUCUCUGCCUGUUAAACUGAGGUGGGCUGGGUUUCACAUGCUCCUACAGCCUUCUGGAGAGCAGGGCAGACCCUAAGGAGCUGAGUUUCCAUGCUGCAGAGCUCACAGGAAGUUCAAGAACAGGCCAGGGCAAGCAGAUGGUGAGACACAAGAACGUUCCAGCCACCUUCUGACCUCAGGUGUGGUGGCUCAUGUCUGUAAUCCCAGCAGUCGGAAAACUAGGCAAGCAGAUUGCUCUGCGUUCAAAACCGUGUCUGUGAGUUGGAGACCAAUGUCUGGGUAGCUGAGCGGUGGCAUCUCCCACAGUCUGGACAGGACCGCCCCUGAGGGAGGGAGGAGGAGGCUGCUCGACACCUAUGAGGUCAGGAGGGCUUGAGAGAAGUUACAGAACUAAAGUCCGUUAGUCAAGCUCCAGUGAGAAUUUUCCAGAAAGCGAGACACAAAGAGGUAGGUGGAGGUGGAGUGAGUACCACCAUGAGAUGACAGCAUUCAGCUACUUGGAGUAAGUGGGCACCUGCUCUCUCCUGAGCAGCACAGACGAGCGGCAGGCACAGACAUUUUGGGGGAGAACUCAAGAAUGUGUCCAGCUGCAUGUUUCUGGUACUUAAAAGAAUGACUGAAUCAGUGACCAACCAGAUUUGUGGCCCUGUGUAGUCCUGCAGCCAGACUCGUGGAGGUCAGCAAGGGUCAAAAAUUAGGUGGGGGGGGGCGCUGGAGAGAUGGCUCAGCGGUUAAGAGCACCCGACUGCUCUUCCAGAGGUCCUGAGUUCAAAUCCCAGCAACCACAUGGUGGCUCACAACCAUCUGUAAGGAGACACGAUGCCCUCUUCUGGUGUGUCUGAAGACAGCUACAGUGUACUUAUAUAUAAUAAAUGAAUAAAUCUUUAAAAAAAAAAAUUAGGUGGGCCCACAAGAUGCAUCCAUGAAUUCCCUCCGGAACAGCUGAUCGUUUGCCACAGCGCCACCUGCUGGCUGGUUCUGACCAUGGCCAGAAUUAUAAGUUGUUGUCUGAGAGGGGAAUGGGAUGCUGGGAAAAGGGGACACCCUUCAAAUGAUCUGUCCUGCUAAAAA
Molecule: long non-coding RNA, 3195 nt
Organism: Rattus norvegicus (Norway rat)
Lineage: Eukaryota; Metazoa; Chordata; Mammalia; Rodentia; Muridae
Source: RefSeq, a predicted model, not a curated record